Amphimedon queenslandica is the source of this 247-nucleotide long non-coding RNA. RefSeq lists it as uncharacterized. The record is from RefSeq and is a predicted model, not a curated record. Lineage: Eukaryota; Metazoa; Porifera; Demospongiae; Haplosclerida; Niphatidae. The transcript has 3 exons.
CAAGGAGUUUGCUGUCUAAGCUUCUCAUGAUGAUAAUAACUGGAAAGCUGGCAUUGUGGCGUUACAUGGCAGUCUGGACCUUUGCUGAAGCUACUUUUGUCAUCAUGGGAAUAUCAUACAAUAAGUCAUUAUCCACUCCAGAGUAUACUGAUUGGACAGCAGUCUAUAAUGUUAACUUUUGGAAUAACGAGACCAGCAUUACUCUUCAAGUUAGUGAUGCAUGUGCUGUAGUCACGUACAGUAGCAU